RNAcentral lists this microRNA precursor (107 nucleotides) under Microtus ochrogaster (prairie vole). Its description in RNAcentral is "miRNA (ENSMOCG00000007376.1)". The record is from RNAcentral. Lineage: Eukaryota; Metazoa; Chordata; Mammalia; Rodentia; Cricetidae.
AUGUGUGUGUACAUGUGCAUGUGGAUGAGUAUGUAUGUCUGCAUGUAUGCAUGGUGGGUGCAUGCACAUAUCUGUAAGUGCAUGAGCAUGCUUGUGUAUGUGCAUGU